AAUGAACGUUGGCGGCAUGGAUUAGGCAUGCAAGUCGGGGGAAUCCCAGCAAUGGGGGAACCGGCGUAAGGGGCAGUAAGGCAUGGGUACCUACCUUGGGGUUCGGGAUAGCCAUCAGAGAUGGUGGGUAAUACCGGAUGACGUCGUGAGACCAAAGAUUUAUCGCCCUUAGAGGGGCCCAUGUGAUAUUAGCUAGUUGGUGGGGUAACGGCCCACCAAGGCGAAGAUGUCUAGCGGGUGUGAGAGCACGACCCGCGCCACUCGCACUGAGACACUGGCGAGACACCUACGGGUGGCUGCAGUCGAGGAUCUUCGGCAAUGAGCGCAAGCUUGACCGGGCGAUGCCGCGUGAGCGAUGAAGGCCUUCGGGUCGUAAAGCUCUUUAGUGGGGGAGAAAAGCCGCAAGGUGUGAUCUAUCCCAAAAAUAAGCACGGGCUAAGUUCGUGCCAGCCGCCGCAGUAA
RNAcentral lists this ribosomal RNA (462 nucleotides) under uncultured bacterium. RNAcentral's name for it is "partial 16S ribosomal RNA". It matches the Rfam family "Bacterial small subunit ribosomal RNA", at positions 29 to 523 of the family's 1533-position model. The record is from RNAcentral.